RNAcentral lists this ribosomal RNA (253 nucleotides) under uncultured bacterium. Its description in RNAcentral is "partial 16S ribosomal RNA". It matches the Rfam family "Bacterial small subunit ribosomal RNA", at positions 524 to 776 of the family's 1533-position model. The record is from RNAcentral.
UACAGAGGUCUCAAGCGUUGUUCGGAUUCAUUGGGCGUAAAGGGCGCGUAGGCGGUGCGGUAAGUCACCUGUGAAAACUCUGGGCUCAACUCAGAGCCUGCAGGCGAAACUGCCGUGCUUGAGUGUGGGAGAGGGAAGUGGAAUUUCCGGUGUAGCGGUGAAAUGCGUAGAUAUCAAGAGGAACACCUGCGGCGAAGGCGGGUUGCUGGGCCGACACUGACGCUGAUGCGCGAAAGCCAGGGGAGCGAACGGG